GCCCCGGUAGCUCAGCUGGAUAGAGCGGCUGCCUUCUAAGCAGCGGGUCGCAGGUUCAAGUCCUGCCCGGGGCGCCA
Molecule: transfer RNA, 77 nt
Filed under: bacterium
Lineage: Bacteria
Also listed under: 4 other names
Description: tRNA-Arg
Rfam family: tRNA
About the family: Transfer RNA (tRNA) molecules are approximately 80 nucleotides in length. Their secondary structure includes four short double-helical elements and three loops (D, anti-codon, and T loops).
Source: RNAcentral